Molecule: ribosomal RNA, 618 nt
Filed under: Shigella sonnei
Lineage: Bacteria; Pseudomonadati; Pseudomonadota; Gammaproteobacteria; Enterobacterales; Enterobacteriaceae
Description: partial 23S ribosomal RNA
Rfam family: Bacterial large subunit ribosomal RNA
Source: RNAcentral
GGAGCAGCCCAGAGCCUGAAUCAGUGUGUGUGUUAGUGGAAGCGUCUGGAAAGGCGUGCGAUACAGGGUGACAGCCCCGUACACAAAAAUGCACAUAUUGUGAGCUUGAUGAGUAGGGCGGGACACGUGGUAUCCUGUCUGAAUAUGGGGGGACCAUCCUCCAAGGCUAAAUACUCCUGACUGACCGAUAGUGAACCAGUACCGUGAGGGAAAGGCGAAAAGAACCCCGGCGAGGGGAGUGAAAAAGAACCUGAAACCGUGUACGUACAAGCAGUGGGAGCACGCUUAGGCGUGUGACUGCGUACCUUUUGUAUAAUGGGUCAGCGACUUAUAUUCUGUAGCAAGGUUAACCGAAUAGGGGAGCCGAAGGGAAACCGAGUCUUAACUGGGCGUUAAGUUGCAGGGUAUAGACCCGAAACCCGGUGAUCUAGCCAUGGGCAGGUUGAAGGUUGGGUAACACUAACUGGAGGACCGAACCGACUAAUGUUGAAAAAUUAGCGGAUGACUUGUGGCUGGGGGUGAAAGGCCAAUCAAACCGGGAGAUAGCUGGUUCUCCCCGAAAGCUAUUUAGGUAGCGCCUCGUGAAUUCAUCUCCGGGGGUAGAGCACUGUUUCGGCA